UUCGCAAUGCCCGAAAGGGUGACGAAGCGACGCCGCGUGUGGGAAGAAGGCCUUCGGGUUGUAAACCACUGUCGGGAGUUAAGAAAUGCAAGGAUAUGAAUAGUGUCUUUGCUUGACUAAGGCUCCGGAGGAAGCCACGGCUAACUCUGUACCAGCAGCCGCGGUAAUACAGAGGCGGCAAGCGUUGUUCGGAAUUAUUGGGCGUAAAGAGCACGUAGGCGGCUAUGUAAGUCGGUUGUGAAAGCCUUCCGCUCAACGGGAGAACAGCAUCCGAUACUACAUGGCUUGAGUGCGGGAGGGGAGAGUGGAACUUCUGGUGGAGCGGUGAAAUGCGUAGAUAUCAGAAGGAACGCCGGCGGCGAAAGCGGCUCUCUGGCCCAUAACUGACGCUGAGUGUGCGAAAGCUAGGGGAGCAAACGGGAUUAGAUACCCCGGUAGUCCUAGCCGUAAACGAUGGGCACUAAGUAGAGGGGUUUUA
This 478-nucleotide ribosomal RNA is filed under the name uncultured Planctomycetales bacterium. RNAcentral describes it as "bacterial SSU rRNA". It matches the Rfam family "Bacterial small subunit ribosomal RNA", at positions 365 to 833 of the family's 1533-position model. Lineage: Bacteria; Pseudomonadati; Planctomycetota; Planctomycetia; Planctomycetales. The record is from RNAcentral.